RNAcentral lists this ribosomal RNA (492 nucleotides) under uncultured bacterium. RNAcentral describes it as "partial 16S ribosomal RNA". It matches the Rfam family "Bacterial small subunit ribosomal RNA", at positions 29 to 507 of the family's 1533-position model. The record is from RNAcentral.
AGUGAACGCUGGCGGUAGGCCUAACACAUGCAAGUCGAACGGCAGCACAGUAAGAGCUUGCUCUUACGGGUGGCGAGUGGCGGACGGGUGAGGAAUACAUCGGAAUCUACUUUUUCGUGGGGGAUAACGUAGGGAAACUUACGCUAAUACCGCAUACGACCUACGGGUGAAAGCAGGGGAUCUUCGGACCUUUCGCGAUUGAAUGAGCCGAUGUCGGAUUAGCUAGUUGGCGGGGUAAAGGCCCACCAAGGCGACGAUCCGUAGCUGGUCUGAGAGGAUGAUCAGCCACACUGGAACUGAGACACGGUCCAGACUCCUACGGGAGGCAGCAGUGGGGAAUAUUGGACAAUGGGCGCAAGCCUGAUCCAGCAAUACCGCGUGGGUGAAGAAGGCAUUCGGGUUGUAAAGCCAUUUUGUUGGGAAAGAAAAGCAGCAGGUUAAUACCCCGCUGUUAUGACGGUACCCAAAGAAUAAGCACCGGCUAACUUCGUG